CCCUUAGAUGUUCUGGGCUGCACGCGUGCUACAAUGGCGCUUGCAACAAGUCUUGCCAACCCGAUAGGGUGAGCGGAUCUUUGAAGAGGCGUCGUGAUCGGGACAAUUGAUUGCAAUUAUUCGACUCGAACGAGGAAUUCCUUGUAAUCGCGAUUCAUCAUAUCGCGCUGAAUACGUCCCUGCCCUUUGUACACACCGCCCGUCGCUCCUACCGAUUGAGCGAUCCGGUGAAUGUUUUGGACUGGCGUCAGAAGCGGUUCGCUCCUGACACUACGAAAUUUUGUAAACCUUAUCGCUUAGAGGAAGGAAAAGUCGUAACA
This 320-nucleotide ribosomal RNA is filed under the name uncultured eukaryote. RNAcentral's name for it is "partial 18S ribosomal RNA". It matches the Rfam family "Eukaryotic small subunit ribosomal RNA", at positions 1470 to 1796 of the family's 1831-position model. The record is from RNAcentral.